This 233-nucleotide ribosomal RNA is filed under the name uncultured bacterium. RNAcentral describes it as "partial 16S ribosomal RNA". It matches the Rfam family "Bacterial small subunit ribosomal RNA", at positions 544 to 776 of the family's 1533-position model. The record is from RNAcentral.
UCCGGAUUUAUUGGGCGUAAAGAGCGCGUAGGCGGCCCGGAAAGUCGGAUGUGAAAACCCGGGGCUCAACCCCGGGCCUGCAUCCGAUACUCCCGGGCUGGAGGCAGGUAGGGGAGAUCGGAAUUCCUGGUGUAGCGGUGAAAUGCGCAGAUAUCAGGAGGAACACCGGUGGCGAAGGCGGAUCUCUGGGCCUGUCCUGACGCUGAGGCGCGAAAGCUAGGGGAGCGAACAGG